GGCGAACGGGUGAGUAACACGUAGGUAACCUACCCUCAUACAUGGGAUAACUGAUGGAAACGUCAGCUAAAACCGUAUAGAUACAGAACAGGCAUCUAUUUUGUAGGAAAGGUGCGAAUGCACUGGAUGAGGAUGGACCUGCGGUGCAUUAGCUAGUUGGUGAGGUAGAGGCUCACCAAGGCGAUGAUGCAUAGCCGACCUGAGAGGGUGACCGGCCACAUUGGGACUGAGACACGGCCCAA
This 242-nucleotide ribosomal RNA is filed under the name uncultured bacterium. RNAcentral's name for it is "partial 16S ribosomal RNA". It matches the Rfam family "Bacterial small subunit ribosomal RNA", at positions 97 to 334 of the family's 1533-position model. The record is from RNAcentral.